CCCUUAGAUGUUCUGGGCCGCACACGCGCUACACUGAAGGAGGCAGCGUGUACUCCUGGAUCGAAAGAUUUGGGUAACCCGCGAAUCUCCUUCGUGCUAGGGAUUGAGGUUUGCAAUUAUCCCUCAUGAACGAGGAAUUCCCAGUAAGUGCAAGUCAUAAGCUUGCGCUGACUACGUCCCUGCCCUUUGUACACACCGCCCGUCGCUACUACCGAUUGAAUGAUUUAGUGAGGACUUCGGACUGGGACCGAUGCGGCUUUCGGGCUGCGUCGGUAUUCUGGAAAGAUGUCCAAACUGUAUCAUUUAGAGGAAGUAAAAGUCGUANCA
RNAcentral lists this ribosomal RNA (327 nucleotides) under uncultured eukaryote. Its description in RNAcentral is "partial 18S ribosomal RNA". It matches the Rfam family "Eukaryotic small subunit ribosomal RNA", at positions 1470 to 1796 of the family's 1831-position model. The record is from RNAcentral.